Molecule: non-coding RNA, 70 nt
Organism: Podarcis lilfordi (Lilford's wall lizard)
Lineage: Eukaryota; Metazoa; Chordata; Lepidosauria; Squamata; Lacertidae
Source: the annotation of a GenBank genome assembly
GGAUAGCUCAGUUGGUUAGAGUGUGGUGUUGAUAAUGGCAAGGUUGCAGGUUCGAUCCCUGUAAGGGACA